This is a long non-coding RNA of Cyprinus carpio (common carp), 666 nucleotides long. RefSeq lists it as uncharacterized. The transcript has 3 exons. Lineage: Eukaryota; Metazoa; Chordata; Actinopteri; Cypriniformes; Cyprinidae. The record is from RefSeq and is a predicted model, not a curated record.
AGUAAUUAUUUCUUUGCUGUGUUGAAACACUGAGUACUGUAACAGAAGAAAUGUUGCUUUUGAAUUGGUUUUACGACUGAGGCCUCAAGUAGAUAUGUAUAGAAAUUUUCUUUCUAUUGUAAAACAUGCAAAUAUCAAUGUCUUUAUUCUUCAAUUCACAACAGUAGUGGAACUCGCCUUUAUCUGAAGAAUCAUUUUUCAUAUUUAGGAAAAAAGCUUGUGGCAACUGUCUUCUCUGAACAGCUGUCUUGUGAACAUGGGCCUCAGUACAAUAAAGAGGACACUUCACACCCUACAACCCGUAAAAAUAACCCAGAUUUGACAGAACUACACACCCAUCUGAGGCCUACUGUACCUGUUUUACUUUCAUGAUCACUGCAGAUACUUCUACAAUUGACCCACUUUGUAAGUUCUCAUAGUUACACCUUAAAAAAACACAUCAUUUUAGAAAAAAUACCUGUGUAUUUGCUGGUAUAUUACUGAGAUACCUUUAUAAAGAUUAAUGUUGAUUAACUACCUAGUUCAAUUAAAAAUGAAAAAAUGUGCCAUUUAAUCUCCCUUCUGUCAUUCUAUUCCAUAAAAAAGUGUGCAUCUUCAUGACACGAAUAAAGGUAUAUAACCCAAAUCUUUGACACCCAAGAAACCAUCAAAUCAAUCUAUAUGAAU